GGAUUUAAAACUCUGAACAGAGCUAGUAAUGCAACUUACAUUUUAACUUAAAAUCUGCACCUGGAAAAGACACAGCAUGAGAUGUCUCUCAUUGAGCUCUCAAGCUUGGUUUUUUUUGUAUGACACAGCAGUUUUGCACACUAAAUCAGAGUUUUAGAGAACCAGUUUGUUCACCUCAAGCCCACUAUUGCCUUUCUUCUUUUUAUUGAUAAAAUGGGCCUAAGCGUGGUGCUGUAGAUUUUGCAGAUUGCAGAUGAAAAUCAGUAGUUUGGCUCUGUAGGCUCCGAGUUCUCUUGGACUUUGAUAGUGAUGGUUGACACCAGGAACCCAAGAUUAAGAAACUUGAGAAGUCAAGCACUUCUCAAGUUUGCAAAGAAUCUGGCAGAUGAGCAAAAAGGACUUGUUUUAUUUAAUAGCAGCUUUCUCUGGAAAACACAUUCCACUUCUUGCCACAACUGAGGGGUUUUGUGUUUGUUUUUUUCAAGGUAAGCUGUAGUAUAAUAAAGCCAGAAAAUAAUGUUAUGGUAAAUCAGUUAAUUACUACAGCAGAACUUAGGUAGGUUAGGACAUACAAACAUCUCGAGGCAGGCUUGGUUGGUUGCUUAGUCCUUUCACAAGAAACAAAUAGCAAACUUUAAGUGACACCCUGGAGAACUGUGCAGAUCAACACAGCUGGAGAGAACAUCUUUUCUUCUUUACUUUAUAGACUUAUUGUUCAUCUGGCUAGUCAGGAAAUGGGUCACAGGCAGGAGAAUAAUCAGAUGGAGACCUUGAACUGCUACUACUUACUUUAAAGAGCAGGCUUUUGCUGUCCCUCCUCUCACCCACAGGUCAAUGUCCAAUGACAUGGUGUUGCAAGCGGGUUAUCUGUCGCAGGGACAAAGAGAGGAAGUGCUUGCAGUGUGUGCUUUUAAAAGAGACUUAUGUAGUCUUGCAGUUUUAAGUAGAAAAAACUAAAUGGGAGUCAUUUAUCAAACACUACUUUGUACCUGUUGUCCUCAAAACAGACUUUAAGCUAAUAUAGCAUGUCAGUCAUUCCUUCAGAUUGCAGUGCUGUCAUUCUCUGAACAAUUCUUAGAUGGCAUUACAAGAUGACAUGGUGAAUUGGAAUUAAAAACGAAGAAUAUUUUUCUGCAAGUGACAUAUUUAAUAGGCAGUUGUCACUUUGAAGGAAUUAAAUAGCUCUUAAUGUUGAAAAUGAAUUAGUAUUGAUUAUGGAAUAGAAAUUACUGGCCACUCAAAAACCUGAAGAUUCUUCUUGUUUGAUAGAAAGAAUUUAUGUUAUUUUAUUUAAUAGAUAAUUUGACUUAUUAACUUGAGAAUAUAUUUAGUAUUCUAAAGUAAUACUGUAUAAAACCUAGAACUAAGUGUGUUACAAGCAUGACGAAGCUCCUGAAAAUGACAGUUCACAGGCUUUCUGAGCCAAAUAAAGACUGAACCUCAGCCAAGUGGAAAAACUAAUGGCAAAAAUCCUGUAGUGAAAUGGAGUAGGAAGAGCUCAUCUGUAUGUAGCAUUGCAGACAAAGAUGAAAUUUCACUAGGAUAGCUAGAUUAGGUUUUGGUAUGAAAACCAGUUCUGGUUACUAUUAUCUGCAAAGAAUGGUAGGGUUUAAAAAUAAAGAAUAGACAUGGAACCACUGAAGAAAUUAGUAGCUUUCUUUAGUGAUAGAUUAAAGAAAUAGCCACAGAAUAUCAUUAUAGAAAACAAGCCCUUUGUUGCCUUUAGAUGGCUGUUCUUGUGGAUAUGAACUCCAUGUUUUGGAGUCUUUUCUAUGUAUGUACCUCUUUAGUUGUCCUGGAAAACAAAAAUCAUUCUGCUGCAUGGAACUACAGGAUUUCUGUAAAAGGCCUCUCUGUUUUUCAAAUAGUGAGUUUUGACACCUAACUUAGCUUGGUUUGUGUCCUCAAAUUUCCAGGAACACUUACUUGGUUGAAAGACACCUUGAUGCAUGCCAGCUUGAGACAUGAACAUGAUAUGCAGUAACACCUCCAUCCAGUGCAGCUUGUCAUGUAAGCCAAACACUGAUCUCUCUUGAUGAGAACUACCUUGAUUCCUCAAAGUUUAGUGGUAGCCUCUUUUCUAUAUCAUUUUUCUAGUACAAAAUCACAUGGUGUAGUCAGGGGGUUUAAUAUAGCACUGCCAACUCUUUACCUCAGUACACUCUAAUCUGUAACAUGGAGAGUGGUGGGUAGGGUGUUUCAGUAGCAACUCUAAAAUAUCUGUGCCUACUUCUGUAAUGAGUGUUUAACAGGUUUCUAGGGAGCAUCCAAUAUGGAUCAGGAAGACUGGCAUGGUCUGGGUCAGACUUGGCCUGAAUUAACAUUGACUCCACACACUCCUAGAUGAGGACUGUCUAGCCUAGUGAGGAAGUAAUUGGUAAGACAAUACAAGACCUAGUGCUUUUUAAUAUUACCUGUUUUGUAAUUAGCUGGGGUGAUCUCUGCUUUGUGCUGUGAAGUGGGCACUUCUUUGUUUUAACACUAAUCUUUUUUUACAUAGAUGGAAAUGAGUAAAGCCAGGAUAUUUGGAGCUGAAACUGCCACUCUGCUACCCAGGUUGAUGCUAUCUCUUUGCUUAUCUUGGUGGUUGGACAGUUUAGCUUGAUUCUUGACUUCUUUAUCUUUCUAUAAUGGCAUUUGGAAAGCGGUGUUGAAGUUUGUCUGUGUGUUGAUAUGCUUGUUUUCUUAUUGGGUGGGGAGUAUGGAGGUACUAGAUUGUCAGUGCUAGUGGUUCUGUGCCUGGCUUGAUGAACUGUAUCACAGCCUAGCUCUUGGCAUAUGUGUGAAGGCCAUAUCUUCUGUCUGAUGUGAAAAUAUUCACAGUCAGAGAGGAAAAAAGAGCUGCACUGACUUCCAAGGUGGGCAUUCUGGUAAAAAAGCCAAAGUAUGUUGGAAGGGAGCAGGAGGGGGGAGCUAUUUUUAAACAGAUCCCCAAAGCUGAUGGUGUUUGGAGACUGUAUUGACAUGAAAUGCCAUCUGCAUUGACCCCAAAAGCUUUGAGUGACUCCAGAGAGCUAUUGGCUGUGAAUUAAAGCAGCAGGCUGGCAAGGCUGGCUCUGCUGCGGCUGCACACCCUUCCAUUGUGAAUCUCUCUUCAUCUGUUCAUAACUGGGUGCCAAAACUCAAUUCCUACUAAAAUUACAGUAUGCAGAUCUCUGGCCAGUCAGUGCAUCUUACUCCUUUCUAACAGCUACUUAAACUUUCUUCAAGAUACCAGAGCAUGAGAAGUAUUCCAGGAGAAUGGCUAGGUAAGAGACUGUUUCCAUUAUUGGAAUGAAAACUACAACUGAUGGAGAGCAAAUCUUUUUGAUAAGUAGGAUGUGAGAGAGCAUUUUAUGAGGGAAGUAACAGAUUUUGAAUAGCAUUGCUUCUCUGCUGGUGCUUCCCAUCAAUCUCUUGUGCUGAGCUUGUGUGCAGGCGGUUGGGCACAAAGGCUGAGAGGAGGUAGCAGGGAGAAGGGGGAUGUGGAAGAGAAAUGAUCUUUUGGUAGCUCACAAGACUUGGAAAGCAUGGUGGUGGACUUAGGUUUGAAAACACGUGUUCAAACUCCCAUUUGCAUUGGAGCCAUUAACUCUCUUUAGGAUAAUGAGUGCUCUUCCAGUGAACAGGUUUUGUUAUCUGGAACGUGUAAUGAGUUUGAAUUGCUGAUACACGUUAAGAAGUAUUUCUGGAGACUCCACUUAACAAAAUGGCUAGUAUUUAUUGCUCUUGUGAUGAGUUGUCUUGUUUAUGGAAUCAAUAUGUAUGAAAGCAAACUGACAAAACACAAAGUUAUCUCAUGACACAAUCAUGUAGCUAGGAAGCCAAUUAAUGUUAUCUUUUAUUCUGCAAUUUACUUGCUCUCUGGUGCCUAUGCAUUAACACACAUACUAUGCAAUAUCAUUCUUUUUUUAAAACCAGUUCACUGCAUUGGGCAAGAAAGGCCUGAGUUUAGCCUUAAUUUUCUAACAAUUCACAGGAAAAUACUUUAAAAACAGUGACAAACUAAAAGGUGGUGAAAAAUGCAUAAAGUAAAAGCACAGUUCCAGACUGCUCACAUAAGUGUCUUUCUAGCACCAAAACAGCAUCCAUGAUAGAAGCAGCUACUUGCUGUAAUAGUUUCAAUUUAUGAAAACUGUGUACUAGAUAAAAUUAUAUUGUGAUGUGUAAAAAGUGUAUUUUAUAGCUUUGGUGACUUAGUUUACUGUUUUGUAUAUAUGAAUUUUAUAAAUCUAUUAAAACUUGACUUG
Molecule: long non-coding RNA, 4229 nt
Filed under: Strigops habroptila (Kakapo)
Lineage: Eukaryota; Metazoa; Chordata; Aves; Psittaciformes; Psittacidae
Description: lncRNA (ENSSHBG00005005068.1)
Source: RNAcentral